UCCUUGGUGGUCCAGUGGCCAAGACUCUGCAUUCUCAAUGCAGGGGGCCUGGGUUCAAUUCCUGGUCAGGGAA
RNAcentral lists this transfer RNA (73 nucleotides) under Bos taurus (domestic cattle). It matches the Rfam family "tRNA". From Rfam's summary of the family: Transfer RNA (tRNA) molecules are approximately 80 nucleotides in length. Their secondary structure includes four short double-helical elements and three loops (D, anti-codon, and T loops). Lineage: Eukaryota; Metazoa; Chordata; Mammalia; Artiodactyla; Bovidae. The record is from Rfam by way of RNAcentral. RNAcentral also lists the same sequence under 5 other names.